RNAcentral lists this ribosomal RNA (789 nucleotides) under uncultured bacterium. RNAcentral describes it as "bacterial SSU rRNA". It matches the Rfam family "Bacterial small subunit ribosomal RNA", at positions 554 to 1343 of the family's 1533-position model. The record is from RNAcentral.
CUGGGCAUAAAGCGAGCGUAGGUGGCUUGAUAAGUCAGAUGUGAAAGCCCCGGGCUUAACCUGGGAACGGCAUCUGAUACUGUUAGGCUAGAGUAGGUGAGAGGAAGGUAGAAUUCCAGGUGUAGCGGUGAAAUGCGUAGAGAUCUGGAGGAAUACCGAUGGCGAAGGCAGCCUUCUGGCAUCAUACUGACACUGAGGUUCGAAAGCGUGGGUAGCAAACAGGAUUAGAUACCCUGGUAGUCCACGCUGUAAACGAUAUCUACUAGUCGUUGGGUCCCUUGAGGACUUAGUGACGCAGCUAACGCAAUAAGUAGACCGCCUGGGGAGUACGGUCGCAAGGUUAAAACUCAAAUGAAUUGACGGGGGCCCGCACAAGCGGUGGAGCAUGUGGUUUAAUUCGAUGCAACGCGAAGAACCUUACCUGGUCUUGACAUAUCUAGAAUCCUGCAGAGAUGCGGGAGUGCCUUCGGGAAUUAGAAUACAGGUGCUGCAUGGCUGUCGUCAGCUCGUGUCGUGAGAUGUUGGGUUAAGUCCCGCAACGAGCGCAACCCUUGUCCUUAGUUACCAGCGGUUUGGCCGGGAACUCUAAGGAUACUGCCAGUGACAAACUGGAGGAAGGCGGGGGCGACGUCAAGUCAUCAUGGCCCUUACGACCAGGGCUACACACGUGCUACAAUGGUAGGUACAGAGGGCAGCUACACAGCGAUGUGAUGCGAAUCUCAAAAAGCCUAUCGUAGUCCAGAUUGGAGUCUGCAACUCGACUCCAUGAAGUAGGAAUCGCUAGUAAUC